GACGAACGCUGGCGGCGUGCUUAACACAUGCAAGUCGAACGCUGAAGCUCAGCUUUUGUUGGGUGGAUGAGUGGCGAACGGGUGAGUAACACGUGAGUAACCUGCCUCCUUCUUUGGGAUAACGCCCGGAAACGGGUGCUAAUACUGGAUAUUCACUGGUCUUCGCAUGGGGGUUGGUGGAAAGGGUUUUUCUGGUGGGGGAUGGGCUCGCGGCCUAUCAGCUUGUUGGUGGGGUGAUGGCCUACCAAGGCUUUGACGGGUAGCCGGCCUGAGAGGGUGACCGGUCACAUUGGGACUGAGAUACGGCCCAGACUCCUACGGGAGGCAGCAGUGGGGAAUAAUGCACAAUGGGCGCAAGCCUGAUGCAGCGACGCAGCGUGAGGGAUGGAGGCCUUCGGGUUGUGAACCUCUUUCGCUCAUGGUCAAGCCGCAACAAUGGUUGUGGUGAGGGUAGUGGGUAAAGAAGCGCCGGCUAACUACGUG
RNAcentral lists this ribosomal RNA (483 nucleotides) under uncultured bacterium. RNAcentral's name for it is "partial 16S ribosomal RNA". It matches the Rfam family "Bacterial small subunit ribosomal RNA", at positions 28 to 507 of the family's 1533-position model. The record is from RNAcentral.